Anolis carolinensis (green anole) is the source of this 5336-nucleotide long non-coding RNA. RefSeq lists it as uncharacterized. The record is from RefSeq and is a predicted model, not a curated record. The transcript is spliced from 3 exons. NCBI's taxonomy places the organism in Eukaryota, Metazoa, Chordata, Lepidosauria, Squamata, Anolidae.
GACCCUCUUCUUCUCCCCCGUCCGCCUGCCUGCUUGCCCCUCUCUCCCUCUCUCGCCUCUCUCUGUGUCGAGAUCUGGCACACACACGGUCUUGCUCUCUUAACUCCCAGAUCUUUGUUUUCGGUGGUGGCAGCCAGAAAGAGGAAGAGAGCGCUGUGCUCUCACUUCCCACUGGCUUCCUUUAUUGAAGGGAGAGAAAAAAAAUCCCCCAACUCUCUCUCUCUCCUCUUCCAACUUUUGCUCCAGUUAUUCGCUUCUCAGCCUUACUGGCAGCCUUUGCAGAAAAACCUACUCUCCAGCCUUGGACUUUUGUUUUUCCUUAAGAUGAAGGAUGCAAGAAGAAUGAAGUACAACAUCUUUUACAGCCCAAGAGUCAUAAAGGAACAGGUAGUCAUUUCAAUCCGUAUCUUGGUAAUUCUAAGACAGGUAAACAUCCUAUUUUUCACCAAAUUCAGUGCAAAACAUAUAUGUAGACAGAACCCCUAUGGUUUGCAGCUUUUGAACAGAUGCUCGUAUUUCAUGCAAUUGCUCAUACAUUCAGUUGUUAUCCACUUUGUCUCUGUGACAGAUAUUGCAAGCAAAAUAGAUAUCUUUAUUUAGAUAUAAGUACCAACCAGGCACAUAAUGAUACAAUUGUGCAAAAUUUCCAAAGUAAGACAGAAAUGAAUGGUAGAAACAAACCAAUCCCAGAAGCAUCUGGUGAUGGUCGAUAGAGCCACUCAACAGUAGUAGAUGCAAGAUGUGCUUCUAAUUCAGGGCCAGUGAAAAGCAGAGUAAAGUAAGGCGAUAUUGGAGAAAAAUGUUGUAAAUAAGCAAAGAGAAAAUUUAUUUACUUUUUGCUUAUUUACAACAUGCUUAGUUUUUUCUCCAAUAUUGCCUAGUACUUCACUGCUCCCCUGCAUUGGUCCUGAGUUAUAAGAAUAUCUUGUGUAAAAAACUUACUCUUUGUUUAUUUACAACAUUCCACAGUUUUUCUCCAAUAAGUAAAUAAAAAGCCUGAUGGAUUUAAUGGUUUGCUUGUUGAACUAGGACUCUGGAAAAUAGGGUCUGAAUCCCUGCUCAUCCAUGAAAAUCCACUUAGUGACCUUAGGUGAAUCAUACUCUCUCAACUUCAGAGGAAUAUAAUAGAAAACGCCUCCUCUAAACAAAUCUUGUAGAGAAAACCCUGUGAUAGGUUCAACUUCGGAUCUCCUUAUUUUGGAAACAACUUGAAGGCAAACAACAACAGCAGCAGCAGCAGCAAUACUUUAGAAAGUAAGAGUAGCUAGAGCCAGGGUUUGAAAUCCUCCUCAGACAUGGAAACCCACUGGGUGCCCUUGAACAAGUCAUACCCUCUCAGCCUCAGAAGGAGGCAAUGGCAGACUCCACUUUGAACAAAUCCUACCCAAAAAACCUCCACGAUAGGUUCAUCUGACAACUACCACACAACACACACAACAACUACAAAGUAAAAAUAAAUCAUUGUUUGUUCCUUGACAAUUUAGCUCAGAAGCCUGACCAGAAUUGUCAUUUCCAAGUUAUGCAAACUCAGAGCAUUUAUUGUUUUGCAACUCAGACAUGUUACUUCAGUCAGGUUACUUCACCUUCAAUGAAAAUACUCCUCCUUGGCUUGCAGAACAAGCUUUUAUUUCAUAUGUCUUUAACCAAGCCUGUUCCCAUAGACUCAGGGUGGUGCUGUAAUUCUGAAGGUGAAAACAUGGAAUGGCAAUGUAUUGAUGUGGAUAAUAAAAAAAUUUCCCCACUGUACAUAUUAGUGGAAGAUUUUGGUUAGGAUAAAAUUCCUUUUUUCUUUUCUCCAUCAGACAUAUAGAGAAAAUCUGCCCUAUUACAAGGUAGUAGUUAUGUGAUGAUCCCCCCCCCCAUAAAAGUCUACAGCAGAGUAAUUAUAGACUCAAUAAUUUUUUUAACAUAGUUCUCUGAGCAAAUGAAAUAUUUCAAGAUAUAUAAGCAUGAUGGUGGUGUAAUCACCUGCAUUAUCUGAUUAAUCUAUUGAUUUCUAUGUUCUAUUAUAUUUACAUUAUUCUGUUUCCCCUAGAUUGCAUUCCAUGUGAUUAAGUUCUAAAAUCUGGGAAUUCACAGAAAUAAUUUUGUGAUUUGUUCUGAUAGCCUCACAAUGAAAACUACUGAUUUGCUUAAUUCAAAGCAAAUACAAAUGCAGACAUGUAUAACUCAAAAGUAGAAAGUGCAUAUUUUUCAAAUUGAGCAAGUCUCAAACUCAGUUGCUGCCAUGAAAUUGGUGCACAUGCAAACUAUCACACAUGUUUGCCUAUAUUCAUGCUUUUGGGGUAAGAAUAACCCAGGCAAUGAAUUCUACCAAUGAGAUUAAUAAUAAUUAAAUAUUCUUUUACUAAUGUAACAAUGUAUUUUCUUUUCACAGGACUGUUAGUCCAGAACUAUUUCGCAUAGAUAUAUAAACAAUCAUGACAAUGAUUAAAGAAAAUUCUUUUCAUAUCAAUUUAUAUAAAUAAAUGAAGCAACCUUCUUAAAACAAAGUAUUUGAUCUUUUGGGUUAAUUUAACAAUCAAAUAGCUGAGUUUUUGUAAGCAGCUCAUGGAAUUUUUUUAAUGAAGAUCAGAAUGCUCUGUCUGCCCAAUACAUUAAAACUGUGACUCUAGAAGAUUUUAUAUCUAUUAUCACAUAUUUCUUGUAUUGUAUUUUUUCACAGAACAGAUGAUUAUAUAAGUUUUAGAAACUGUAUACAAGAAGUUGUUAACAUAAACCCUAAAAUAAACCCAACAGUUUGUAACUAUGUGAUAAUUUUAUUUUCAACUGAAAUCUGAUAUUUAAAAACACAUACCUUUGCCCCCACACCAAGCAACCUCUUGGUGUUGAUACAUGUUUAAAAUGUAGUUUAAGGGAAUAGUUUGUUUAGAAUAGAAAUUAAACUUCAUUUGUUGGACUAAAUAUAUAUAAAUGACUGAAUCUACAGUAUGUGGUUGUGCAUAGAAUAGAAUCAUGUUUAAAGUGUAAACCAUAAAAGGUUUAAAUAACUUAUUUUUAUCUCCUUCUCAUCAGCAAGAAUUGUGUUUCUUUUAGGUUCCUCUGGGAUGGACUACGCUCUUGUUUUAAGUUUCUCUUCUCAGAGAAGAGGAUGGUUCCUGAUUUGAGAAGAGUUAAGAUAUACCGAAGUAUUUAAAUUAACCAAAGAAAAAGUCUACAGAGUUUUGGGAGGUUGACUUUCUGACUAAAAUUUCUAAACUUAUAUAUGAGUAUAUAGGGUUCUGAAUAUCAUAUACAGUAGAGUCUCACUUAUCCAACACUCGCUUAUCCAAUGUUCUGGAUUAUCCAAUGCAUUUUUGUAGUCAAUGUUUUCAAUACUUCGUGAUAUUUUGGUGUUAAAUUUGUAAAUACAGUAAUUACUAUGUAGUAUUACUGCAUAUUGAACUACUUUUUCUGUCAAAUUUGUUGUAUAACAUGUUUUGGUGCUUAAUUUGUAAAAUCAUAACCUAAUUUGAUGUUUAAUAGGCUUCUCCUUAAGCUCUCCUUAUUAUCCAACAUAUUCACUUAUCCAACGUUCUGCCGGCCCGUUUAUGUUGGAUAAGUGAGACUCUACUGUACUUACAUCUGGAAAAGCAAAAAGGAUAAGAUGUGACAUAUUGCAUAUUUUACUACCCACUGUAUGGCAGUAUUUGACAUUUGAGAGUUUCAUGGUGCUUAUCUAAAUAAUCUUCCAAUAACUUUGUACCUUAAAGGAUUAUGCCUGCUUUUAGGACUUGGAGGAGACUGUGUCUGAAUUAUGCAAGUUUUCUCCAAGUUAAAGAGUUGAUUUAAUCUAUGAUCUGAAGAAUAAUAAAAAAUUGGAUAAACCUCAUUGAUUUCAAUAAAUGUGUUCAUGGCCAGGGAGCCAGUUGUUAUGUUUGUCUGUGCAUGAUCAACAACAUUAAUGGUAUUGCUUCAUAAAGUGUCUUCAGAGAGGAAUUAUGCCAAACUUCUUAUUGUAGCCCACCAUGCACCCUUGAUAUCUGGGAUGCAGGGGGAAAUUGGGGGAAAAGUUAUGUCAUACUACUGAAUUAAUCUAUCAUGUUUUGGGUCCAUAUUUGCUUUAUAGCAAUGUUUGUGGCUUUCCAGAACUUCGGGAGAGGGGAAAGGCAUGAAAAAUAAAAGCAUAUGUUUGGUUUCAUAUCAUCCUGAAACUAUCUCAAGCUUUGCUACACAGCACAUGUUCUUAUAUCUAUAUAUCUUUAAUGAGAUAUCUAACAGCCUUUAUCUCUGGCUCUGUUAGGAACCAAGCAAUUGAAUGAUUCUAUCAAGUGAAUUAAUGGGAAAAAGAAAUUAAACCUGAAUUCUGAUGAGAUGGUGGAGAUCUGAGGAGAUGGUGGAGAUCAAUGGUCUGAAAGGAAUCAGCUUGCCUAUACCUGAUGGGGUCUCUUGGUUACCACAUCUGAUUUGAUAAAGAACCUUGGGAACCAUCUUGAACUUGAUGCUGCUCUUUAAGAAGCAGGUUAAAUGCUAAGAGUGCCUUUUCUCAUCUUAGCAAAGGAGCAUUUUCUAUGUUUAGAUAGAUGACAGGUUAUAGCACAAUUUCCUGUGUGCUAUACAUGAUCCUACUAUUAAAGAUGAUGAUGUUUAUGAUGGUGUUGAACACCUUCUUACAAUUUCUAGGAGGUAGGCUGGACAUACUUUUAGUUUAUUUUGUUCCCAAGCCAAAAACAAAAUUCUUGUUUUAAUUUUUAAAGAUCAUGUAGCAAUGAAGACAUUGUUGAAAUGCGUGCUUUUAUGAUACACAGUAAUGCAUGUCCCAUGUUUUUGUCAUUGCAGAGGCAGGAAUUGAUUGCUUUCUAAACUUUCCUUUCUCCUGUGCUUUGUUCAUGGUUAUUUAAUGGCUGGUGGAGAAUGAAGAACAUCUAGAUAAGCAGAAUGCACAAUGAUAAGGUCUCUGGACCAUUUUUAAACAUCUUUCAGUUAUAUUGUCAUGGUGCGACGGGCUACUGUUCAUCAUUUGUCAUCUGGAGUCACCAGGCCAAUUGGAGAAGGGAAAGGAGGAAAGAUUCCUCUUCUUCCCCCAUCUGCAUUUCUCUGUUUGGCCAAUGAGUGCCAAGUGAAGGACACUAGUUAUAUUGCUGCUUUAGAAAUCAGAAAGUUAAGAAGGUGGGGCGCUGAGGAUUAAUGACUCUGGACAGUUGGAGGAUAUGUAAUAAACUGAUUCUGCGAUCAACAUUAGUAGAAAUAUGGAGAUAUGCAUGAUGAAAAAGUCUUACACGAGUUUCUGUUGCUAAACAAAGUUGCCUGUUUUAAGAGUCAACAGACAGAGUCAAUAUUGUGUCUUUUUCAUCUUUAUGAUCCAUCUUAAAUCUGGUCAUCUACUAAAUAUGUAAAUAAAAAAACCUUAGACCCUG